RNAcentral lists this ribosomal RNA (497 nucleotides) under uncultured bacterium. Its description in RNAcentral is "partial 16S ribosomal RNA". It matches the Rfam family "Bacterial small subunit ribosomal RNA", at positions 28 to 507 of the family's 1533-position model. The record is from RNAcentral.
GAUGAACGCUGGCGGCGUGCCUAAUACAUGCAAGUCGAGCGAACUGGCGAGGAGCUUGCUCCUCUGACGUUAGCGGCGGACGGGUGAGUAACACGUGGAUAACCUACCUAUAAGACUGGGAUAACUUCGGGAAACCGGAGCUAAUACCGGAUAAUAUAUUGAACCGCAUGGUUCAAUAGUGAAAGACGGUUUUGCUGUCACUUAUAGAUGGAUCCGCGCCGCAUUAGCUAGUUGGUAAGGUAACGGCUUACCAAGGCAACGAUGCGUAGCCGACCUGAGAGGGUGAUCGGCCACACUGGAACUGAGACACGGUCCAGACUCCUACGGGAGGCAGCAGUAGGGAAUCUUCCGCAAUGGGCGAAAGCCUGACGGAGCAACGCCGCGUGAGUGAUGAAGGUCUUCGGAUCGUAAAACUCUGUUAUUAGGGAAGAACAAAUGUGUAAGUAACUAUGCACGUCUUGACGGUACCUAAUCAGAAAGCCACGGCUAACUACGUG